CAAUAGCGUAUAUUAAAGUUGUUGCAGUUAAAAAGCUCGUAGUUGAAUUUUUGCUUGCCGCCGAUGUCGGAACUUCCGUACGUUCGGCGGCGUGCAUCCUUAGGUGGAACCUGUGUGGCAUUAGGUUGUCGUGCAGGGGAUGCUCAUCGUUUACUGUGAAAAAAUUAGAGUGUUCAAAGCAGGCUUACGCCGUUGAAUAUAUUAGCAUGGAAUAAUAAGAUAGGACCUUGGUACUAUUUUGUUGGUUUGCGCACCGAGGUAAUGAUUAACAGGGACAGUUGGGGGUAUUCGUAUUCCAUUGUCAGAGGUGAAAUUCUUGGAUUUCUGGAAGACGAACUACUGCGAAAGCAUUUACCAAGGAUGUUUUCAUUA
Molecule: ribosomal RNA, 372 nt
Filed under: uncultured eukaryote
Lineage: Eukaryota
Description: partial 18S ribosomal RNA
Rfam family: Eukaryotic small subunit ribosomal RNA
Source: RNAcentral